RNAcentral lists this ribosomal RNA (513 nucleotides) under uncultured bacterium. RNAcentral's name for it is "partial 16S ribosomal RNA". It matches the Rfam family "Bacterial small subunit ribosomal RNA", at positions 28 to 523 of the family's 1533-position model. The record is from RNAcentral.
GACGAACGCUGGCGGCAUGCCUAAUACAUGCAAGUCGAGCGAACAGAUGAAGUGCUUGCACUUCUGACGUUAGCGGCGAACGGGUGAGUAACACGUAAGGAAUCUACCUAUAAGCGGGGGAUAACAUUCGGAAACGGGUGCUAAUACCGCAUAAUAUCUUCUUCCGCAUGGAAGAAGAUUUAAAGACGGCUCUGCUGUCACUUAUAGAUGACCUUGCGGUGCAUUAGUUAGUUGGUGGGGUAAUGGCCUACCAAGACAAUGAUGCAUAGCCGACCUGAGAGGGUGAGCGGCCACAUUGGGACUGAGACACGGCCCAAACUCCUACGGGAGGCAGCAGUAGGGAAUCUUCCGCAAUGGGCGAAAGCCUGACGGAGCAAUGCCGCGUGAGAGAAGAAGGCCUUCGGGUCGUAAAACUCUGUUAUAAGAGAAGAACAAAUUGUAGAGUAACUGCUACAGUCUUGACGGUAUCUUAUCAGAAAGCCACGGCUAACUACGUGCCAGCCGCCGCAGUAA